RNAcentral lists this small RNA (29 nucleotides) under Bombyx mori (domestic silkworm). RNAcentral describes it as "ovarian small RNA-4249". The record is from RNAcentral. Lineage: Eukaryota; Metazoa; Arthropoda; Insecta; Lepidoptera; Bombycidae.
AACUCAGGAAUCCUCGAAGUUACAGAAAC